GAUGAACGCUGGCGGCGUGCCUAAUACAUGCAAGUCGAGCGAACAGAUAAGGAGCUUGCUCCUUUGACGUUAGCGGCGGACGGGUGAGUAACACGUGGGUAACCUACCUAUAAGACGGGGAUAACUUCGGGAAACCGGAGCUAAUACCGGAUAACAUUUGGAACCGCAUGGUUCUAAAGUGAAAGAUGGUUUUGCUAUCACUUAUAGAUGGACCCGCGCCGUAUUAGCUAGUUGGUAAGGUAACGGCCUACCAAGGCGACGAUACGUAGCCGACGUGAGAGGGUGAUAGGCGACCCGAGAACUGAGACACGGUCCAGACGCCUACGGGAGGCAGCAGUAGGGAACCUGCGGCAGUGGGCGAAAGUCUGACGGAGCAAGGGCGCGUGAGUGAUAAAGGCGUUCGGUGCGGAAAACUGUGUUAUUAGGGAAGAACAAAUGUGGAAGUAACUGUGCAGGUCUUGACGGUACCGAAUCAGAAAGCAACGGCUAACUACGUG
Molecule: ribosomal RNA, 497 nt
Filed under: uncultured bacterium
Lineage: Bacteria
Description: partial 16S ribosomal RNA
Rfam family: Bacterial small subunit ribosomal RNA
Source: RNAcentral